GUUGCUGGGAUUUGAACUCAGGA
This 23-nucleotide non-coding RNA is filed under the name Cricetulus griseus (Chinese hamster). RNAcentral also lists the same sequence under 1 other name. Lineage: Eukaryota; Metazoa; Chordata; Mammalia; Rodentia; Cricetidae. The record is from RNAcentral.